CCUACGGGUGGCUGCAGUGAGGAAUUUUCCGCAAUGGGCGAAAGCCUGACGGAGCAAUGCCGCGUGGAGGAAGACAGCCUAUGGGUCGUAAACUCCUUUUCUUAGAGAAGAAGCUCUGACGGUAUCUAAGGAAUAAGCAUCGGCUAACUCCGUGCCAGCAGCCGCGGUAAUACGGGGGAUGCAAGCGUUAUCCGGAAUGAUUGGGCGUAAAGGGUCCGUAGGUGGUCGAUAAAGUCUACCGUUCAAUACCAGGGCUUAACCCUGGGGCAGCGGUG
This 275-nucleotide ribosomal RNA is filed under the name uncultured bacterium. RNAcentral's name for it is "partial 16S ribosomal RNA". It matches the Rfam family "Bacterial small subunit ribosomal RNA", at positions 338 to 628 of the family's 1533-position model. The record is from RNAcentral.